UGAGUCGGCCGGGUGACCGCGGCAUGGCAUUGCGACCAUGUCGAGGAAAGUCGGGACUCCACAGAGCAGAGUGCUGGCGCGAGCCAGGUCGGGGCGACCUGACGGACAGUGCAACAGAGAGAGACCGCCGAUGGGCCGGCUUGCCGGCCACAGGUAAGGGUGCAACGGUGCGGUAAGAGCGCACCAGCGUGUGCGGCGACGUACACGGCUCGGUAAACCCCACUCGGAGCAAGGCCAAGCAGAACGUACGGGCGGCUCGUCCGCCGGUUCGCCGGCAGCGUUCGGGUAGGCCGCCUAGAGGGAUGGUCACCCGUUCACCUUCGGGUGAACGACAGAAUCCCGCUUACAGGCCGACUCACCGU
Molecule: RNase P RNA, 362 nt
Filed under: Acidimicrobiaceae bacterium
Lineage: Bacteria; Bacillati; Actinomycetota; Acidimicrobiia; Acidimicrobiales; Acidimicrobiaceae
Description: RNase P RNA component class A
Rfam family: Bacterial RNase P class A
About the family: Ribonuclease P (RNase P) is a ubiquitous endoribonuclease, found in archaea, bacteria and eukarya as well as chloroplasts and mitochondria. Its best characterised activity is the generation of mature 5'-ends of tRNAs by cleaving the 5'-leader elements of precursor-tRNAs.
Source: RNAcentral